AACGAACGCUGGCGGCAUGCCUAACACAUGCAAGUCGAACGAGACCUUCGGGUCUAGUGGCGCACGGGUGCGUAACGCGUGGGAACCUGCCCUUAGGUUCGGAAUAACUCCCCGAAAGGGGUGCUAAUACCGGAUAAUGUCUUCGGACCAAAGAUUUAUCGCCUUUGGAUGGGCCCGCGUUGGAUUAGCUAGUUGGUAGGGUAAAAGCCUACCAAGGCGACGAUCCAUAGCUGGUCUGAGAGGAUGAUCAGCCACACUGGGACUGAGACACGGCCCAGACUCCUACGGGAGGCAGCAGUGGGGAAUAUUGGAAAAUGGGCGAAAGCCUGAUCAAGCAAUGCCGCGUGAGUGAUGAAGGCCUUAGGGUUGUAAAGCUCUUUUAACCGGGAUGAUAAUGACAGUACCGGGAGAAUAAGCUCCGGCUAACUCCGUG
This 433-nucleotide ribosomal RNA is filed under the name uncultured bacterium. RNAcentral's name for it is "partial 16S ribosomal RNA". It matches the Rfam family "Bacterial small subunit ribosomal RNA", at positions 29 to 507 of the family's 1533-position model. The record is from RNAcentral.